This is a non-coding RNA of Pelobates cultripes (western spadefoot toad), 293 nucleotides long. Lineage: Eukaryota; Metazoa; Chordata; Amphibia; Anura; Pelobatidae. The record is from the annotation of a GenBank genome assembly.
GCCACGCGCUCGCAUUCAGCCAGUCUCAUAGGAAAGCAUUGUCAAUUUCCACAGUGAGAAGCGCGGAAGUGCCUCUAGCGGCUGUCAAUGAGACAGCCACUAGAGGCUGGAUUAACCCAUACAUUUACAGCAAAAAGGGUUAAACCUAGAUGGACCUGGCACCCAGACCACUUCAUUAUACUCCCUCUAGCAUGUAAGCUCAUUGAGCAGGGCCCUCAACCCCCUCUGUUCCUGUACGUCAGUGGUCUGAUCUCAGUUAUGUGUCUGUUAGUCCACCCAUUGUACAGCGCUAC